Onychostoma macrolepis is the source of this 1126-nucleotide long non-coding RNA. RefSeq lists it as uncharacterized. Lineage: Eukaryota; Metazoa; Chordata; Actinopteri; Cypriniformes; Cyprinidae. The record is from RefSeq and is a predicted model, not a curated record. The transcript is spliced from 5 exons.
UCAGACUAGGGUGGUGAUAUAAUUUUGCUAUUCAACAGCAGCUUUACCGUUUAUUCUAUGCAGUAUUUCACAUGACCUUCCAGGAGGAGUUCAGGAGAACUACUUGUUCUUUCACCCCAUGCUAUACACCACAUCAUUAGCCCCAUACUUUCACCAGGACUCUAAAGCUCCAAGUGCUUUGGAUCUCGUCCAAUACAAGAUUUAUAUUGAUGAGUUUGGUGUAUAGUGAUGAUGAUCAUUCUCUGCAUAAGGGACAAGCCAAGUUGAAUAUAACUCAUCCCAUAGGUUCACAGGAGGAGAGGGCAAACCCUGGAUGACAAAGAGUUGCAUCAGCAAUUACUGAGCGACAUGACUCCAAGAGAGGUCUUGGUGCACUGCAGACUAACACGUACUAGUUCUCCAUGAUCAGAUGAGGAUCAACAAUGCUGUCAGGACACAUUAAUGAGCAUGGAUGUUGCCGAAGAAAUUUUUCAAAGAACGAAUGUCACAGUCUUCCUUUCGUCUCCUCCGUUCUUUCCACGCUCCCACAGUUUUCACAGGCUCCCUGGAUGACUCACAUGCGGCCCUCUGCACCACCUCUGCCCUCCCCCGUAACUCCUAAACAGAGAUACCCAGAACCUCAAACUACAGACAGAUGGCAUGCAGGAAAUGGACCAAGAUGAAGCUCAAGCCGCCAGUCUCCAGACUCCCCUUUUUCCUCUGUGGGCUGAACCCAUAAGCUCUGAACUCUCUACAGAGACUACAAAUCAGCAAGAAACAAGACGACUGAACUGCAUUGCAAGAUAUCUGCAGAGAAUGUGGUUAAUUAGACUGAACUAAUAGGUUUUUCUGUGUGGCUGCAAUUUAAAAAAAAAAAAAAAAAAGUUAUGAAGCAAAAUUUCAGUAAUGCUACUUGUAAAUGCCCCACAAAUAUAAAAUAAAGUACCUUUAAAACUGUAAAAUUUCUGAUGUUACCAGGCCAACAGCUACAAAAGUCUCAAUGCAAUUAUCUGUAUAGAGCUAUUUUGUAAUCAGGAGUCCAAACAUUUGACUAGUUUAUUAAGAAUCUCCAAAUACUAUGCAUUAUUUGUGAACUGUCCCAAGUUUGUGAAUUUAAGAACAACAACAAAAAAAAUGUAAUGCUCAG